Molecule: ribosomal RNA, 175 nt
Filed under: uncultured bacterium
Lineage: Bacteria
Description: partial 16S ribosomal RNA
Rfam family: Bacterial small subunit ribosomal RNA
Source: RNAcentral
CUGGAAUCGCUAGUAAUCGCAGGUCAGCAUACUGCGGUGAAUACGUUCCCGGGUCUUGUACACACCGCCCGUCACACCAUGGGAGCCGGAAAUGCCCGAAGCCAGUGACCCAACCUUAGGGAGGGAGCUGUCGAAGGUGGAGCCGGUAACUGGGGUGAAGUCGUAACAAGGUAUC